This 207-nucleotide ribosomal RNA is filed under the name uncultured bacterium. Its description in RNAcentral is "partial 16S ribosomal RNA". It matches the Rfam family "Bacterial small subunit ribosomal RNA", at positions 568 to 774 of the family's 1533-position model. The record is from RNAcentral.
CGCGUAGGCGGACUCUUAAGUCGGGGGUGAAAGCCCAGGGCUCAACCCUGGAAUUGCCUUCGAUACUGAGAGUCUUGAGUUCGGAAGAGGUUGGUGGAACUGCGAGUGUAGAGGUGAAAUUCGUAGAUAUUCGCAAGAACACCAGUGGCGAAGGCGGCCAACUGGUCCGAUACUGACGCUGAGGCGCGAAAGCGUGGGGAGCAAACA